This 397-nucleotide small RNA is filed under the name Rattus norvegicus (Norway rat). RNAcentral describes it as "uncharacterized LOC108350510". The record is from RNAcentral. Lineage: Eukaryota; Metazoa; Chordata; Mammalia; Rodentia; Muridae.
UUUAACCACUUGGAAGCACAUGCACCUGUGCUGAGGUGAGUCUCCCUGACAAGGCAGUCUUCAGGGUAUGGAAGGAAAGACACUCACCUCUAUGGCCGGCAUAAGAAGUUUGUGGACACACCAGGGGGUGCAUCUGAUAUACUAACAGGUGAGCGAGAAUGCUUCUGAAUCGGACCUUUGCUCCCCAGCCUCCUGGGACUACUGGAACAUAGCCGGAAAGCCUGAUCACUGUGGAAGCAUCAGCAGUUCACAGCUGGAGAUUCUUGGAACGAAUAUGCCUGGCGAACAGCAUCCAUCCUGCUAAGGAUGCCAAGGAAUUUUCUUCCUCCUGCAUUUACUGGGGAGAUCUCAAACAAUAGUGGGCCAACAGGAGGACGUCACCUGUUUCCUCAUGCCA